AGAAUAAUAAGCUAAUUAAAGCUAUUGGAUUCAUAUUUCAAAGAUAACAUAAAGUUUUAUUCUA
RNAcentral lists this transfer RNA (64 nucleotides) under Vasdavidius concursus. RNAcentral's name for it is "tRNA-Met". Lineage: Eukaryota; Metazoa; Arthropoda; Insecta; Hemiptera; Aleyrodidae. The record is from RNAcentral.